Small nuclear RNA from Cavia aperea (Brazilian guinea pig), 103 nucleotides. Lineage: Eukaryota; Metazoa; Chordata; Mammalia; Rodentia; Caviidae. The record is from Ensembl.
GUGCUCACUUCAGCAGCACAUAUACUAAAAUUGGAACCAGAGAAGAUUAGCAUGGCCUCUGUGCAAGGAUGACAUGCAAAUUCCUGAAGUGUUCCAUAUUUUU